RNAcentral lists this ribosomal RNA (111 nucleotides) under Convolvulus cneorum. RNAcentral describes it as "partial 5.8S ribosomal RNA". It matches the Rfam family "5.8S ribosomal RNA", at positions 48 to 154 of the family's 154-position model. From Rfam's summary of the family: 5.8S ribosomal RNA (5.8S rRNA) is a component of the large subunit of the eukaryotic ribosome. The record is from RNAcentral. Lineage: Eukaryota; Viridiplantae; Streptophyta; Magnoliopsida; Solanales; Convolvulaceae. RNAcentral also lists the same sequence under 9 other names.
GCGAAAUGCGAUACUUGGUGUGAAUUGCAGAAUCCCGUGAACCAUCGAGUCUUUGAACGCAAGUUGCGCCCGAAGCCGUCAGGCCGAGGGCACGUCUGCCUGGGCGUCACG